This 971-nucleotide long non-coding RNA is filed under the name Ananas comosus (pineapple). RNAcentral describes it as "long non-coding RNA (ACOM_LNC025100)". The record is from RNAcentral. Lineage: Eukaryota; Viridiplantae; Streptophyta; Magnoliopsida; Poales; Bromeliaceae.
UUUUGGCUGGAUUCAGAAAAAAUAAAUUUUACAGAAUUAAUUUUAUUUUAAAAAAUUAAUUUUGAUUAAAAGCUGUAAAGCGUUUGGCUGAGUUUAAAUAAAAAUAAUUUUUCUGAAAUAAUUUUAUAAAGUUAUUUGGCAAAAAAAGUUUGGCAUUUGAAAAUAAUAAUAGUUUUACUAAAUUUUAUUUUAAAAUAAUUUAAAUUUUUGAAUUAAAAUUUAAAAUUUAUACAAAAUUUAAAAUUUCAUAUUUUAAUUUAAAAAUAAAUUUGAAAAUUUAAAAUUUACAAUUUACAAUUUGAAUUUUUAAAGCUAAAGAUAAAUUUUCAAUUUCAAAUUUAAAAUCCAAGCUAAUAUUUGACAUUUGAAAUUUAAAUUUUAGGAAUUUAAAAUUUUAAAAUAUGAAAUAUAAAAUUUAAAAUUUAAAAAUAAAUUUAAAAUUUUAAAAUUAAAAUUUUAAAUUUAAAAAUAAAAAAUUUGAAUUUUAAAAAAUUAAAAUUUGUAAUUUGAAAAAUUAACAUAUAAUUUAAAAUUUUAAAUUUUAUCCGAAAUUUGAAAUUUAAAAUUUAAAAUUUUAAAAUUUACAAUUUUAGAUUUAAAUUUAAAAUUUAAAAUUUAAUAUCUAAAUUUUAAAUUUUAAAAGUUGAAAGUUAAAAAUUCAAAAAUAAAUUUAAAAUUUAAAUUAAAAAUUAAAUUUAAAUUUAAACUUAAACUUUUGAAUCGAAAAUUCAAAUAAAAACUUGAAGUUUGAGUCCAAAAUCAGAAUCAUGUUUCAAGAGUUAAAUUUUAACUGUUUCCGAUUUUGAGCCUUGAAAAUUAAAAAAUUGAUUCUAAAAUUUAGGAUCAAAUUUUGAAAAAAAAAAUUAUCAAAUGGUCUAUUGAGCUGAAAAUUACUUUUGAAUUCAAAGCUAUUUUUUCAGAAGUUAGACCAAACACCCCUUUGUCAGAAAUCUUCUCCAGUAGAAAUUCUC